RNAcentral lists this non-coding RNA (182 nucleotides) under Opitutaceae bacterium. RNAcentral describes it as "6S RNA". It matches the Rfam family "6S / SsrS RNA". From Rfam's summary of the family: E. coli 6S RNA was the first non coding RNA to be sequenced, but its function was unknown until recently. It consists of 184 nucleotides that fold into an extended hairpin structure with a large single-stranded internal bulge. The record is from RNAcentral. Lineage: Bacteria; Pseudomonadati; Verrucomicrobiota; Opitutia; Opitutales; Opitutaceae.
GCGCCUCUGCGAUAUGCGUGAGCUUGUCGUUAAUUCCCUUGAGCCUAUUUAUACCCCCGGGAUUGCUUGUUAAAAGGUCGUGUGCAUACCUGCGUCAGCGGGGAGCCUUACAUCUCUUACGGUGAACCCACUUGAACCUUUUGGUUCAAGGUCAACGGCUACCACGGUACUCACGGAGCGCG